CCUACGGGAGGCAGCAGUGGGGAAUCUUGCACAAUGGAGGAAACUCUGAUGCAGCGAUGCCGCGUGAGUGAAGAAGGCCCUUGGGUUGUAAAGCUCUUUCGUCGGGGAAGAAAAUGACUGUACCCGAACAAGAAGGUCCGGCUAACUUCGUGCCAGCAGCCGCGGUAAUACGAAGGGACCUAGCGUAGUUCGGAAUUACUGGGCUUAAAGAGUUCGUAGGUGGUUGAAAAAGUUAGUGGUGAAAUCCCAGAGCUUAACUCUGGAACUGCCAUUAAAACUUUUCAGCUAGAGUAUGAUAGAGGAAAGCAGAAUUUCUAGUGUAGAGGUGAAAUUCGUAGAUAUUAGAAAGAAUACCAAUUGCGAAGGCAGCUUUCUGGAUCAUUACUGACACUGAGGAACGAAAGCAUGGGUAGCGAAGAGGAUUAGAUACCCUCGUAGUCCAUGCCGUAAACGAUGUGUGUUAGACGUUGGAAAUUUAUUUUCAGUGUCGCAGCGAAAGCGAUAAACACACCGCCUGGGGAGUACGACCGCAAGGUUAAAACUCAAAUGAAUUGACGGA
RNAcentral lists this ribosomal RNA (559 nucleotides) under uncultured bacterium. Its description in RNAcentral is "bacterial SSU rRNA". It matches the Rfam family "Bacterial small subunit ribosomal RNA", at positions 338 to 917 of the family's 1533-position model. The record is from RNAcentral.